CCCUUAGAUGUCCUGGGCCGCACGCGUGCUACACUGAUGCAUACAGCGAGUACUUUCCAGCUCCGCGAGGCAGCUGGUAAUCAGCAAUAUGCAUCGUGCUGGGGAUAGAUCUUUGGAAUUAUAGAUCUUGAACGAGGAAUUCCUAGUAAGCGCAAGUCAUUAGCUUGCGCCGAUUAAGUCCCUGCCCUUUGUACACACCGCCCGUCGCUCCUACCGAUUUCGAGUGAUUCGGUGAACCUUUUGGACAGCGUCUGUCCUCGUGUCAGAUGCUGAAAGUCAAGUAAACCAUAUCACUUAGAGGAAGGAGAAGUCGUAACA
Molecule: ribosomal RNA, 318 nt
Filed under: uncultured eukaryote
Lineage: Eukaryota
Description: partial 18S ribosomal RNA
Rfam family: Eukaryotic small subunit ribosomal RNA
Source: RNAcentral